RNAcentral lists this ribosomal RNA (496 nucleotides) under uncultured bacterium. RNAcentral's name for it is "partial 16S ribosomal RNA". It matches the Rfam family "Bacterial small subunit ribosomal RNA", at positions 29 to 507 of the family's 1533-position model. The record is from RNAcentral.
AUGAACGCUGGCGGCGUGCCUAAUACAUGCAAGUCGAGCGAACAGACGAGGAGCUUGCUCCUCUGACGUUAGCGGCGGACGGGUGAGUAACACGUGGAUAACCUACCUAUAAGACUGGGAUAACUUCGGGAAACCGGAGCUAAUACCGGAUAAUAUAUUGAACCGCAUGGUUCAAUAGUGAAAGACGGUUUUGCUGUCACUUAUAGAUGGAUCCGCGCCGCAUUAGCUAGUUGGUAAGGUAACGGCUUACCAAGGCAACGAUGCGUAGCCGACCUGAGAGGGUGAUCGGCCACUCUGGAACUGAGACACGGUCCAGACUCCUACGGGAGGCAGCAGUAGGGAAUCUUCCGCAAUGGGCGAAAGCCUGACGGAGCAACGCCGCGUGAGUGAUGAAGGUCUUCGGAUCGUAAAACUCUGUUAUUAGGGAAGAACAAAUGUGUAAGUAACUAUGCACGUCUUGACGGUACCUAAUCAGAAAGCCACGGCUAACUACGUG